UGGGGAAUAUUGGACAAUGGGCGAAAGCCUGAUCCAGCCAUGCCGCGUGUGUGAAGAAGGUCUUCGGAUUGUAAAGCACUUUAAGUUGGGAGGAAGGGCAGUAAGCGAAUACCUUGCUGUUUUGACGUUACCGACAGAAUAAGCACCGGCUAACUCUGUGCCAGCAGCCGCGGUAAUACAGAGGGUGCAAGCGUUAAUCGGAAUUACUGGGCGUAAAGCGCGCGUAGGUGGUUCGUUAAGUUGAAUGUGAAAGCCCCGGGCUCAACCUGGGAACUGCAUCCAAAACUGGCGAGCUAGAGUAGGGCAGAGGGUGGUGGAAUUUCCUGUGUAGCGGGGAAAUGCGUAGAUAUAGGAAGGAACACCAGUGGCGAAGGCGACCACCUGGGCUCAUACUGACACUGGGGUGCGAAAGCGUGGGGAGCAAACAGG
This 429-nucleotide ribosomal RNA is filed under the name Pseudomonadota bacterium. Its description in RNAcentral is "Proteobacteria bacterium partial 16S ribosomal RNA". It matches the Rfam family "Bacterial small subunit ribosomal RNA", at positions 355 to 776 of the family's 1533-position model. Lineage: Bacteria; Pseudomonadati; Pseudomonadota. The record is from RNAcentral.